UGGUAGCAACAAUGUUUCACAUUGAACAUGCCAACUCAAACACAUCAAGGAAAAGUGAAAAGAAAUUCACAUUUUGCCAUUAGACUUGGGGACACAAGUUUAACCAAUUUCUGGUUUGGUUCAGGCAUUAUGGAAGGAUAGCAUGUACCAGAAGAAAUAUGAAGCAGCAGCUCUGAAGCCUGAGCAACGGACCUCGGCAGCCCCAACCCAACCUGGCUUAACUCAGCCUCACUGAACCGGAUCCAACACUCUUGGCUCCCUGGGCUUGCUACAGCUCUCUGAUCCUUAGAAUCCUCUCAGUUCCAGCUAGAAUGCUACGUCAGGCACUUCGCAGAUUUGGUCAAAAGCUGGUACGCAGACGUCCACUGGAGAAAAAAGUGUAUGAGUUUAAAUCUGGCAUAAAACUGAGCACUCUGGACUUAGUGGCCCUGGGUGUGGGCCACACAGUGGGUGUUAGUGUGUUUGUCCUGGCUACUGAGGUGGCCAGUAAUCAAGCAGGACCAUCCAUUGUGAUCGGCAUUUUGGUGGCGGGCCUAACAUCGUUGUUGGCUGGGCUGUGCUAUGCAGAGUUUGGUGCCUGGCUUCCCCAUUCUGGCUCUGCGUAUCUCUACACCUAUGUCACUAUGGGUGAACUCUGGGCUUUCAUCACUGGCUGGAACUUUAUCCUCUCCCUUGUUGCUGAUGCAGUUAUUGUGAUGAAGGCCUGGAUCUUAACUUUUGACAACCUGAUUGGGAACUGGUUCUAUGCCACCCUGCAUGAGAGCAUCUCACAGCAUGUUCCCCAAGUCUUCAUAGACUGUCUAGGCUACUUGGCUAUGAACCUUCUGUUUGGUCUCAUAGAAAUUCCAAGUCUGAAUUAUCAUGGGUUCUUCAGAGUUUUCAAACUGUUUACAUUGGUAAAAUUUUUGGUUGUCAGUUUUGUCAUCAUCUCUGGCUUCAUGAAGGGGGACCUGCACAACUGGAACCUCACAGAAGAGGACUACAUGCAGGCUGAAGUCAAUGACACCUUUAGCUUGGGCCCUCUGGGCUCUGGUGGAUUCGUGCCUUUUGGCUUUGAGGGGAUUCUCCGUGGAGUAGCUACCUGUUUCUAUGCUUUUAUAGGCUUCGACAGUAUUGUUACCAGAGUUGAGGAAGCCCAGACUCCCAAGCGUUCCAUCCCCAAGGGCAUUGUGAUUUCACUGCUCAUCUGCUUUUUGGUGUAUUUUGGUGUCUCUGUGGCAGUUACACUCAUGGUGCCUUACUACCAGCUUACUACCUUGCCUGAGGUAUUUCUCCAUAUUGGCUGGGCCCCUGCCUAUUAUGUUGUAGCUUUUGCAACUUUCUGUAGUAUUUUUGUCAGCAUCUAUCAGAGCUUUCUCCUCCCCAUACAGUGGGUGAUAGACAUGAUGGCACUGGAUGGCGUCCUGUUCCCUAUGCUUGCCAAGAAAUGUGCCCGCAUACGCACCUGCAUUUUGUUCUUUGAAUUCAUUUGUAUUGUUUCAGUCAUGCUAUUAUUUUUUGGAUUCGCUGAUCUCUUGGACCUCAGGUCUAUUGUGACCCUGACAUCUUAUUCCCUGGUAGCUUUUUGUGUUCUCAUCAUCAGGUAUCAGCCUGAGUGGACGAAUGAAGAAAACGAAGCACAGGUGCAGGAGGAGAAUUUGGUAAAUGAAGCGCAGGUGCAGGAGGAGAAUGGAUCUGCAGCAGAGAAGCUGACUCUACAGGGACUAUUCUUUCCAGGCAGCCCCACCCCCACUCCACUCUCUGGCCGGGUUGUCGUUGUUUGCUCCUCACUGCUUGUUCUGCUGCUGACUGUUCUCUGCCUGGUGCUGGCCCAGUGGCCAGGUCUGCUCCCUGGAGACCCAGUGCCGAUCACAGUGGUUGUGCUGCUCCUGGUGCUCAUCACUGGGAUCACUGGGGUCAUCUGGAGACAGCCACAGAGCUCCACUCCCCUUCCCUUUAAGGUCCCUGCUGUGCCUCUCCUCCCACUCCUGAGCAUCUUUGUGAAUGUUUACCUUAUGAUGCAGAUGACAGCUGCCACAUGGGCCCGAUUUGGUGUCUGGAUGCUUAUUGGGUUUGCUCUCUACUUCGGGUAUGGGCUCUGGCACAGCCUGGGCCCUUAACCCCACUUAAGGGCCCAAACUGUAGACCUUGAACUCAGCAGUGCCUGUAUAUAUUUGGUUUGACAUCAUCAUUGAAUGCAGUCUGGUUCCCCUACACAAUAAUGGGGAGUACUCUCGAGUGUAUGGAAAUAUAGGUCUCCUUUGAGAUAUUAUUGGGGGAACACUAAUAGAGCUCUGUAUUUAAGGUAUGGUGAAGGAUGUGUCUUUGCUCUUUUUCCUUUUUUUUUUAUGUUCUACUUUCAAUUGUGUCUAUAGCUGCUCGCUGGCUUUUACAAAAUUAGUAUUAAAAGAAAAUUGA
Leptonychotes weddellii (Weddell seal) is the source of this 2397-nucleotide non-coding RNA. NCBI's taxonomy places the organism in Eukaryota, Metazoa, Chordata, Mammalia, Carnivora, Phocidae. The record is from RefSeq and is a predicted model, not a curated record.